This 231-nucleotide long non-coding RNA is filed under the name Carica papaya (papaya). RNAcentral's name for it is "long non-coding RNA (CPAP_LNC013203)". Lineage: Eukaryota; Viridiplantae; Streptophyta; Magnoliopsida; Brassicales; Caricaceae. The record is from RNAcentral.
AACAAUCAAAUUAAUCAUGCUGAUAAUAGAGAAAAUCAAAUAAAUUAUAAAAUGCUCAUAUUUUCGUGUCAUGCUUCGCGAAGUCAUUCUAACCUCCAUCUACUGAGGGUAAAUACGGAUUUCCAACUACCUAUGUGAAAUACUAGAUCAGAUACAUAACGGCAAUUCACUCAUUUCAUAUUUCUGGCUUGCUAAACCAUGACACGAUCGAUGAUCAUGGCCGUGUCAACC